GGGUUGUGAGGUUAAGCGACUAAGCGUACACGGUGGAUGCCCUGGCAGUCAGAGGCGAUGAAGGGCGUGCUAAUCUGCGAUAAGCGCCGGUAAGGUGAUAUGAACCGUUAUAACCGGCGAUACCCGAAUGGGGAAACCCAGUGUGACUCGUCACACUAUCAUUAACUGAAUCCAUAGGUUAAUGAGGCGAACCGGGGGAACUGAAACAUCUAAGUACCCCGAGGAAAAGAAAUCAACCGAGAUUCCCCCAGUAGCGGCGAGCGAACGGGGAGGAGCCCAGAGCCUGAAUCAGCAUGUGUGUUAGUGGAAGCGUCUGGAAAGGCGCGCGAUACAGGGUGACAGCCCCGUACACAAAAGCGCAUGUGCUGUGAGCUCGAUGAGUAGGGCGGGACACGUGGUAUCCUGUCUGAAUAUGGGGGGACCAUCCUCCAAGGCUAAAUACUCCUGACUGACCGAUAGUGAACCAGUACCGUGAGGGAAAGGCGAAAAGAACCCCGGCGAGGGGAGUGAAAAAGAACCUGAAACCGUGUACGUACAAGCAGUGGGAGCCCCACCACUAAGCCAGUGGUGAACUCCACAUACGCAUCCUUUGCUGAAGGCAAUGGUUAACGGAGCGAAAGCGACGUUCAACCGCAAAACAAGCAGAGGGGGCUUAGUGGUGGGGUGACUGCGUACCUUUUGUAUAAUGGGUCAGCGACUUAUAUUCUGUAGCAAGGUUAACCGUAUAGGGGAGCCGGAGGGAAACCGAGUCUUAAUUGGGCGUUAAGUUGCAGGGUAUAGACCCGAAACCCGGUGAUCUAGCCAUGGGCAGGUUGAAGGUUGGGUAACACUAACUGGAGGACCGAACCGACUAAUGUUGAAAAAUUAGCGGAUGACCUGUGGCUGGGGGUGAAAGGCCAAUCAAACCGGGAGAUAGCUGGUUCUCCCCGAAAGCUAUUUAGGUAGCGCCUCGUGAAUUCAUCUCCGGGGGUAGAGCACUGUUUCGGCUAGGGGGCCAUCCCGGCUUACCAACCCGAUGCAAACUGCGAAUACCGGAGAAUGUUAUCACGGGAGACACACGGCGGGUGCUAACGUCCGUCGUGAAGAGGGAAACAACCCAGACCGCCAGCUAAGGUCCCAAAGUCAUGGUUAAGUGGGAAACGAUGUGGGAAGGCCCAGACAGCCAGGAUGUUGGCUUAGAAGCAGCCAUCAUUUAAAGAAAGCGUAAUAGCUCACUGGUCGAGUCGGCCUGCGCGGAAGAUGUAACGGGGCUAAACCAUGCACCGAAGCUGCGGCAGCGACGCUUAUGCGUUGUUGGGUAGGGGAGCGUUCUGUAAGCCUGCGAAGGUGGCCUGUGAGGGUUGCUGGAGGUAUCAGAAGUGCGAAUGCUGACAUAAGUAACGAUAAAGCGGGUGAAAAGCCCGCUCGCCGGAAGACCAAGGGUUCCUGUCCAACGUUAAUCGGGGCAGGGUGAGUCGACCCCUAAGGCGAGGCCGAAAGGCGUAGUCGAUGGGAAACAGGUUAAUAUUCCUGUACUUGGUGUUACUGCGAAGGGGGGACGGAGAAGGCUAUGUUGGCCGGGCGACGGUUGUCCCGGUUUAAGCGUGUAGGUGUGUGUUCCAGGUAAAUCCGGUUCACUUUAACACUGAGGCGUGACGACGAGGCACUACGGUGCUGAAGCAACAAAUGCCCUGCUUCCAGGAAAAGCCUCUAAGCAUCAGGUAACAUCAAAUCGUACCCCAAACCGACACAGGUGGUCAGGUAGAGAAUACCAAGGCGCUUGAGAGAACUCGGGUGAAGGAACUAGGCAAAAUGGUGCCGUAACUUCGGGAGAAGGCACGCUGACACGUAGGUGAAGUGAUUUACUCAUGGAGCUGAAGUCAGUCGAAGAUACCAGCUGGCUGCAACUGUUUAUUAAAAACACAGCACUGUGCAAACACGAAAGUGGACGUAUACGGUGUGACGCCUGCCCGGUGCCGGAAGGUUAAUUGAUGGGGUCAGCGCAAGCGAAGCUCCUGAUCGAAGCCCCGGUAAACGGCGGCCGUAACUAUAACGGUCCUAAGGUAGCGAAAUUCCUUGUCGGGUAAGUUCCGACCUGCACGAAUGGCGUAAUGAUGGCCAGGCUGUCUCCACCCGAGACUCAGUGAAAUUGAACUCGCUGUGAAGAUGCAGUGUACCCGCGGCAAGACGGAAAGACCCCGUGAACCUUUACUAUAGCUUGACACUGAACAUUGAGCCUUGAUGUGUAGGAUAGGUGGGAGGCUUUGAAGCGUGGACGCCAGUCUGCGUGGAGCCGACCUUGAAAUACCACCCUUUAAUGUUUGAUGUUCUAACGUGGACCCGUAAUCCGGGUUGCGGACAGUGUCUGGUGGGUAGUUUGACUGGGGCGGUCUCCUCCUAAAGAGUAACGGAGGAGCACGAAGGUUGGCUAAUCCUGGUCGGACAUCAGGAGGUUAGUGCAAUGGCAUAAGCCAGCUUGACUGCGAGCGUGACGGCGCGAGCAGGUGCGAAAGCAGGUCAUAGUGAUCCGGUGGUUCUGAAUGGAAGGGCCAUCGCUCAACGGAUAAAAGGUACUCCGGGGAUAACAGGCUGAUACCGCCCAAGAGUUCAUAUCGACGGCGGUGUUUGGCACCUCGAUGUCGGCUCAUCACAUCCUGGGGCUGAAGUAGGUCCCAAGGGUAUGGCUGUUCGCCAUUUAAAGUGGUACGCGAGCUGGGUUUAGAACGUCGUGAGACAGUUCGGUCCCUAUCUGCCGUGGGCGCUGGAGAACUGAGGGGGGCUGCUCCUAGUACGAGAGGACCGGAGUGGACGCAUCACUGGUGUUCGGGUUGUCAUGCCAAUGGCACUGCCCGGUAGCUAAAUGCGGAAGAGAUAAGUGCUGAAAGCAUCUAAGCACGAAACUUGCCCCGAGAUGAGUUCUCCCUGAGACUUAGAGUCUCCUGAAGGAACGUUGAAGACGACGACGUUGAUAGGCCGGGUGUGUAAGCGCAGCGAUGCGUUGAGCUAACCGGUACUAAUGAACCGUGAGGCUUAACCUUACAACGCCGAAG
Molecule: ribosomal RNA, 3029 nt
Filed under: Salmonella enterica subsp. enterica serovar Thompson
Lineage: Bacteria; Pseudomonadati; Pseudomonadota; Gammaproteobacteria; Enterobacterales; Enterobacteriaceae
Description: bacterial LSU rRNA
Rfam family: Bacterial large subunit ribosomal RNA
Source: RNAcentral